Molecule: RNA transcript, 1085 nt
Organism: Mangifera indica (mango)
Lineage: Eukaryota; Viridiplantae; Streptophyta; Magnoliopsida; Sapindales; Anacardiaceae
Exons: 5
Source: RefSeq, a predicted model, not a curated record
ACAAAGAAACAGUCUCGUAUUUAGGAUUUGUUUUUUUACAAGUUCUAGGGUUGUGUUUCGUGUUUUCAGAGCCAUGAGUGAGGUGUUCGAAGGAUACGAGCGCCAAUGCUGCAAGCUCUCUGCAAAUCUUUCCAGAAUAUGCAACUCAACUUCUCUCCUUUCCGAUACAGAUCAGAAGAAGGAAAAGGUUGCGGAUAUAAAAUUUGGUCUAGGUGAUGCUGACGUUUUGCCAAUUUAUAAUCAGCUUCUACCAAGCCGCCAAAGGAGAUUCUCUAAUGCCUAGGACAACCACAUGCGCCUCCUGGGAUCACAACAGCCCCGUUCUUAUGAGCAAGCCAACGAACAACCGCAUAGUCAUCUGGUAAUUAUUAGAACAUAUGCAGAACAGUCUGGAAUUUAUUAGGAUAAGUUUCAUGGGAAACCAUUUGAAUUGUGAUAAAAAUCUUCCCCACCCCGUGAAUCUAGGAAUAAUGAUUCAGGUAAUUUGGUUUGAUAUUAAUUUGCUUCAUAAUGUAGGGAAUGAUCUCUCAAAAUACAGCAUAUAAAUUGUCUAGACCAGCUAACUGCUCGGGUAAUCUCCUAUUCUUUUAGGGGGUUUAAAGAAGCCCAUUAUCAGAAUUAUAGUUGGGAUUAUUGGAGGAUUUCAUGUUCUUUUUGGAGCUCUCUAUUUUUCUUGUGCAAGGCUAAACAUAAAGGCUACUGGCGUGGAGUAUUUGUAGAUGUUGCAGUUUUCCUUUUCAGUAUUUGGCUUAAAUUUUUGGAGCAUUUGUGCAUGGCUUAAACAAUAUUUUCGUUAGGAUGGUGAUGAACAAUGAAGUCAAUCUAUGCAUACGUUAUGAAGCAAUCUCAUCGUACCCAACAAAUAAAUGCAUGGUACAUCGUUUUGUUAGGAUGCCACAUCAUUUUGUUGCCACCCAUUGAUGCCACAUCAUUUUGUUAACGGCUUAAACAAUAUUGGCAUCAAGUAGCGGCUUAAGCAAACUAAUUACAACAUUUUGGCAUCCGAGUAAUAAGUAUGACUGUUAAUUUUGUUCAUAUAUAAUUUAUAAUUAGAUUUUACAUAAAAUAUAAAUAAAUCUUUGAUA